Molecule: long non-coding RNA, 592 nt
Filed under: Homo sapiens (human)
Lineage: Eukaryota; Metazoa; Chordata; Mammalia; Primates; Hominidae
Description: HSALNT0291824
Source: RNAcentral
UAUUUGGCCCCAAUCUUGUUUGGAAUCUGGACUUUGCUGCUGAAUGGAAAAGUGGGAUGGAGUUGCAUGGAUCCAGGCUUUUGUGCUGCUGUUCUAAGCAGAGUUGGGCCUGGUUAAUAUGUGAUGUUUUCCUUCGGUGCUGUUUAGCCCCAGUGUUCUUUGGAGUCCGGGGAAGUUUGGCCUUUAAAAAUCAAACUGCCAUGGACACUGCUUUACCCAAAAUUUUGGUUCACAUUCUUCACUGGAUUAACUAUUGGGGCAAACAACGUAUAACCAUGUAAAACCAGUACGCUUGUAUUGGCAUUUCAUGGCUAGAGUUCUAAGUCACAAGCACCUCUUCGGCAAAGCCCACCUCCCUCUCUCGCUUGAUUCCCCGGCCAUCCUUAUCAAAGACCUUCCAGGUGAACAGGCAGCCAUCCUCAGCAGCAGUCAGCAGGAACUGAUCAUCAAAGAAACUUGCAAAAAUAGCACAGAGAGAGUGGACUUCUGGAAUGGCACGCCAGUAGACAAGAUUUGACUCUGGAGGUGACGUCUGAGCCAAUAGGUAUUUGGAGUCUGGAGAAAAAGCCAUGCUAAUAAAUUUCUGAACUUG